Long non-coding RNA from Nicotiana tabacum (common tobacco), 421 nucleotides. RefSeq lists it as uncharacterized. Lineage: Eukaryota; Viridiplantae; Streptophyta; Magnoliopsida; Solanales; Solanaceae. The record is from RefSeq and is a predicted model, not a curated record.
UAUAAAAGUAAUCUUUCUGAGUUUAAGUUCUAUGCUGUGAUUAUACAAAAAGAUAGUUUCAUAAUCGGUUAUUUAUAGAGUAAUUAUAGGGAACAACACCAAGGGUUGUGGUGAGAUGAGUAUGAUCCCUCCACCCUUAACUAGAGGUCUCUGAUUCGAGCGUUGAGAAUGAAAAAACACUUGGUAUGUGGCGCUUUCCCUUAAUUUGCCUUACGCGGCGUGAGCUCGGAUUAGUCGAAGCUCCAAUAUGUGUACUGAAUAUUAACCGGGGGAACUUUUAAGGGAACAUUUUUAAAUCUAUGUGCAAUAUCAAUGGCUAUAAAGAAAGCUUGAAAAUCUUAAAGUUGCAGAUUUAGACGGGGCAACAUGUUCUUAUGUAGUUCAAAGAUUCUGGAAAUGGAUGUGUUCUGUUGCUACAUUA